This 289-nucleotide long non-coding RNA is filed under the name Elaeis guineensis (African oil palm). RNAcentral's name for it is "long non-coding RNA (EGUI_LNC018627)". Lineage: Eukaryota; Viridiplantae; Streptophyta; Magnoliopsida; Arecales; Arecaceae. The record is from RNAcentral.
GGAGUAGGGUGCGCACAGCGGACCAAGCCAAGCAAGUCCAGCCCGAAGAGUUUGACAUGGGUCGGGCUCCAGUGAAGCCCACUAGCCAAGUUUUGGACCUAAAGGGCUCCAAGAAAGUUGGGACCAAGAAGAACAAGGCAAAAGGCAAGGUCGUGGUCUCUUCGUCCGUGGAUCUAAAGCGACAGUGGCUUCCUGGGGCCCUAAAGUCUUCAUCUUUGCAGCCAGGGCCUCGAUGGAGGCAGAGGAGAGCCCGCAGGAGCCAGGAGGAGGAAGCCGAGAGCUUGGUGCC